AUGUUGCCUCAACAAAUGCCUGUAGGAUCCAAUAAUGACACAAUUGAGGAUGUUGAUGAAACGAGCGUGUCGUCUACUAUACCUAGCGAUGUUGAUCCAUUAGACUUUGUCUACACAAACAUCCCAGACACCACUCACGUCUUGAAACUCAACGCAAACUGGAAACACUGCAAGGCCAAAAAGUUUGUGUUUGAGACUGACGGGUUCCACUGUCGCAAUGGACAGAUCGAACUUAAACAA
RNAcentral lists this ribosomal RNA (240 nucleotides) under Triticum aestivum (bread wheat). Its description in RNAcentral is "partial small subunit ribosomal RNA". The record is from RNAcentral. Lineage: Eukaryota; Viridiplantae; Streptophyta; Magnoliopsida; Poales; Poaceae.